GCGGGGCUGGGGUGGCCGCGUGCGCGCCGCUAGGCGCCGUUCGGUGCGCGGGUCCUUGUGAGGGCGCUUCUGCGCUCGGAAAGGUGCGCGUUCCUGGUGCGAACAGAGCGAAGUACUGCUCUUGGCGACUUCUGGUGGUGCUCAGUACGAAAGGCACCCCGCUCAGCUUUUAGAAGUUGGAUUGCUGUCAAUGCCCGCUAUUCUGCUUCAGCCCCUGCCGCCCCCUGUCCCAGAGCGGUCUCGGAGCCCUUCCUUUCCCCCGCUGGGCUUUUCUCGUGCUUCGCUUCCUCUGCGGUUCCGUACCGCUGCCGCCGCGCCGCGCCGUUGGUGUGGGAGCCGGGUGAAAGAGACAGAGCCCAGCGCCCACCGAAGCGAAGCGCAGCUCCUCUCCGCUCUGUUACAGAUCCUCAGCUCCAGGGUACCUGAUUUUCAUUUUCAUCACUUCAUUCAGGUCAGUGUCACUCAUCUUUUCUGCCAGGUCAAGCCCAAAUCCACCAGCAGGCAGCUAGGGGAUGAGUGCAGUUCUGUCAUGUACGUAGGUCUGUGGUAAUCACUUGACCAUACCAUGCUGUGCUCUAACAGAGCCACCAAGCUGCGAUGGGGACAUAUGUACUUAAGUCCUUUUGUCGUGUUACUCAACAGGCCUGCUCCAUGUGCUGCUGCUGAUGCCUGUAGUUCACAUUUAGGGCAUGUCCAGCUGCGUGACAAGCAGGAAGCUGUGGGGCUCUCAUGGAAAACAGCGGGGAUACUGCUGUGUGUUAGGGAAUUUGUGUGUCUGACAGCCCACUUCCUGACCAACUCACAGGGACUCAGGAAUGAAGAUGACAGACUGAGUUAUACAUUCUGGCACAUCAUGAGUUGGCUAUCCUUGCUUUAAUUAUUUCAUGCUAAAGCCUUAAUUUUCAUAAGGAAUGUGAAAUCCCAGUUGCAUUUAAUUUGGUUCUCUUAUGAUUCUUUAGUCAUUGCUCUAUUUCUCAGUUACAUUUUGAAGUUAUGACAGAUAUAUUUUUUUUAAUUUUCUUUUUGUGGAAGGAAAUGUCCCCUAUUUAUCUUGGCUUUUCUGCAACAUUUAAUGAUUGCUUCCCCAUGGCAAUUGUUAAUGAACCUGUGACAAUCCAGAUUACUGCUGCUCCUUCCAGUUUUUUAAGGCAACUCUAGUCAUGCUCCUGUAGUCAUUCAGGAGAUGAGAAGAAAUAAUCCAUGUGUAGAGUUCAUUCCCAGGUUUGGGGCUUUUGUUUUGUUUAGUUUUUUAGCCCUCAGGGCGAUGUGGACAGGUCUCUCUUGCCAGCAUAAUAAAACAGUCUGUAAAAUAAAAGUUCUGUUUGUUACAAAAACCCUCUUAUCACAUCAACAAAUUGUCAUAUUAAGUCUCAGUAAAAUCCAGUUCUUCCUGUGCAGAGAAAGGAAAUCUUACCCUGGGUAACAGAGCCUUAGUUCUUCUGUUCUGGUAGAUCUCAAGCUCUUCUGAGUUAUUUCCUUCCCCACGAUAGGGGGAGCUUCUCUACUUACUAGCCCAUAGAAAGAGCUGGUACUUUCACCUCCGUCUCUCUUAUUUUCUGUGCAUUGUUUUGAGUCUCCUUUGGGGGUUUAUAAUGCUGCCCAUCUGAAGUUGUCUGUGCCUAAUACCGAUGCUUUCUCAGCAAGGAAGAUUGGCCUCUUCACUGGAAGACCUUUGUCAGUGGCAUAUGCAUUUCAGAGGACUUCCACCUUCUUUGUACAAGCUUGGUGAAAUACAUCACUGUAGGAGCUUCCCCCAGUGACCUGACCCUAAAGUUGCACUUUAGAGAUGGCUGCCUUUUAAUUAUUUUGGUGCUGUUUGUGAAGAACUGGGUGAAGACACAUACAGCAUCUCUGGUGGUAGAGAAAUAUAAUGGAUUAAGGACAUGACAGUGAAAGCCUUCAUCCUUCAAGCUGAAGACCUCUCAGAGCUUCUCAUCACUAGACAGAAAUUUUUAAACUGCCAGUGGAGAUGGGCUGAGACACCAGGAUCAGACAGAGCUGUUACCUCUGUAGGCGGAUGACCAUGACUACCCAGACAGCAAUAUACAGCUGGAUUGUUCAAGUCCAGGGAAUUGCUGAUGAGAUCGAGCCCACCUGGAGCAAGUGAAAACCUGAUUGUGAGGGGCCUGAUGAUAAUCCUUGGACAAGCACUCUUCUCCUCAAGCCUGGUGUGAACUCAGAAAUCUGCUGCUGAGCUGGGACCACUUUGCCUUGCCAUUAAGUGAAACUGGAGCAGAGUUGAGCCCUGUAUCGAAGCUCACUUAUCCCCAAGGUGAUGCACCUCAAUUUUGCCCAGAGCAUGCCCACCACCUUCCCUGAGAAAAGAUUUCUGUGAGACUUCAGCCUGCAGAACACUGUUCACAUCUUUUGUAUGCAGAGUUUUUUGGGACUCAUUGGACAGUUUUUGCCCUAAGAAAGAAGUGAUUUGAGACUUUCGCAAGGCAAAUAAUGAAACAUAAUCACCAUGGGAAUCGGUUUGUUGGAGCUGGAGUGCUUUUCCUCAGCAUCAAUUGCUACUAAAUAAGUCCUCAUCAUUUUUCAAGGGUGUGACUUGCAACAGGCAGCAAUAACAAUUACAUAUUGUUUUCAAAUAAGAUGUCAUUUUCCUUUCUGGCUAACAGCAAUGAUUUUUUAAUGCAUAACAUUUGUUUAAUAAAACUCACAGAUGCUUCCUUAACAGUUGCAAAGGAAGAAGAGAAGAAAACAAAAUUAAAGAAAAGGCAGAAAAUAUAAAGAGCAAAUGAAAGACUUAGCUUCCACCACAACUAUUCACAUUGUGUCCAAGAAACAUUUGUAUACUUUUGUUGGACCAGACUGUAGUUUACAUAGCAGGGAUGUCCUAUCUCUUGAUUCCAUGUUUUGCUGCAGCAUUGUUUUGAUUCUCUGCAAAUGAAGGAAUACAAAGAGUAUCCAUGUUUUAUCAGAAGGCCCAAACCUCAUGAAGAUCACAGCAUUUUGGCUUUUGUGUUUCAGAAGGCAAUUCUGCAGAGCAAGACAGAUUUUCCUUUUUAUUACUCAAGGCUGCCAUAUCUCCACGAUCUGCCUAUCCUUUCUAGUUAGUUGAGCUCACUAAUUUCUUCCCUUUCUUUGGAGUAAAAGGUAAUGUGUUAAAAUUUUUCACCAAAU
This is a non-coding RNA of Phasianus colchicus (ring-necked pheasant), 3126 nucleotides long. The record is from RefSeq and is a predicted model, not a curated record. NCBI's taxonomy places the organism in Eukaryota, Metazoa, Chordata, Aves, Galliformes, Phasianidae.